UCAAUAUAAAUUGAAAUAGAUUUUAUUUAUUAAAAUUAUUGGGUUUUAAAUUAAAUUAUUAAAAAUAAUAUAAAAAAUAAUGUUUUAGUAUUUUAUGAAGAAAAAAUAAUUUUUAUUAUAGUGAAUUAGUAUUGUGAAAGAAAAUUGAAAUAAUUUGAAAAAUUUUUAUUUUAAAAGAAAAUUUAAUUUAUUGUACCUUGUGUAUCAGGGUUUAUCAAAUAAAUAAUAAUUAUAUAUUUUUCUCGAUUUUAAAAGAGUUAAUAAAUUAUGAAAGUAAUGUAGCAAAAUUAUUUUAAAUAAUUUAUUAGAAAUGAAAUGUUAUUCGUUUUUAAAGGUAUCUAGUUUUUUAAGAAAUAAAUUUAAUUUAGAAAUAUUAAAUUUAUUUAAUUAAUUUUUUAAUUAAAUAAUUUUUUAUUUUAAUAUUUUAUGGGAUAAGCUGUAAAAUAAAAUUUUAAAAAUAAAAUAUAAUAUUUAUAAAAAUAUAUGCUUAGAAUUAGCAAUUAUUUAAAAAUUUGUUAUAAUUUAUUAUAAUAAUUAUAUUAUUUAUUUUAUUUUAAGUUUUUAUUAAAAAAUUCAAUUAAAUUAAAAAAUUGAAGUUAUAAUGAUAAAAUUAGUAUAUUUAUAUGUGAAAAUAAAUUUAAAUGAAAAGUUUAAAUAAAGAAUUCGGCAAAAUUUAAUGUUCGCCUGUUUAACAAAAACAUGUCUUUUUGAAUUAAUUUUAAAGUCUAGCCUGCCCACUGAAAUAAUUUUAAAUGGCCGCAGUAUAUUAACUGUGCAAAGGUAGCAUAAUCAUUAGUCUUUUAAUUGAAGGCUGGUAUGAAUGGUUGGACGAAAUAUAAACUGUUUCAUUUAAAUUUUUUAUAGAAUUUUAUUUUUUAGUCAAAAAGCUAAAAUUUAAUUAAAAGACGAGAAGACCCUAUAAAUCUUUAUAUUUAGAUUAUUUUAAUUAAUAAGAUUAAUUAAAUUAUAAUAAUUUACAAUAUUUUAUUGGGGUGAUAUUAAAAUUUAAAAAACUUUUAAUUUAUAAAUACAUUAAUUUAUGAAUAAUUGAUCCAUUAUUAAUGAUUAAAAAUUUAAGUUACUUUAGGGAUAACAGCGUAAUUUUUUUGGAGAGUUCAUAUCGAUAAAAAAGAUUGCGACCUCGAUGUUGGAUUAAGAUAUAAUUUUGGGUGUAGCCGUUCAAAUUUUAAGUCUGUUCGACUUU
This 1204-nucleotide ribosomal RNA is filed under the name Lotophila atra. RNAcentral's name for it is "partial 16S ribosomal RNA". Lineage: Eukaryota; Metazoa; Arthropoda; Insecta; Diptera; Sphaeroceridae. The record is from RNAcentral.